CCCAAUCCAACCUUUUCUCCAAGCAAAUGGCGUCGUCUCUCUUCCCAUUUCUACCUUGAGAUUCCAAUUGAAAUCCCUAAUUCCCAAAAUCCUAACCCUAAUAUCACCUCACUUUCUUUAUAAUUUAAAGAUUCUCUCGCUUUUGAUUUUGGUAUUGAUUUGGUAGAUGGCCCGUGGUGAUUCAGCGACUUCACUAGCUCCUGGGUUCCGAUUCCAC
RNAcentral lists this unclassified non-coding RNA (217 nucleotides) under Hevea brasiliensis (rubber tree). Lineage: Eukaryota; Viridiplantae; Streptophyta; Magnoliopsida; Malpighiales; Euphorbiaceae. The record is from RNAcentral.